UCGUGUCGUGAGAUGUUCGGUUAAGUCCGGCAACGAGCGCAACCCACAUCUUUAGUUGCCAGCAGUUCGGCUGGGCACUCUAAAGAAACUGCCCGUGAUAAGCGGGAGGAAGGUGUGGAUGACGUCAAGUCCUCAUGGCCCUUACGGGUUGGGCUACACACGUGCUACAAUGGUGGUGACAGUGGGUUAAUCCCCAAAAGCCAUCUCAGUUCGGAUUGGGGUCUGCAACUCGACCCCAUGAAGUCGGAAUCGCUAGUAAUCGCGUAACAGCAUGACGCGGUGAAUACGUUCCCGGGCCUU
This 300-nucleotide ribosomal RNA is filed under the name uncultured bacterium. Its description in RNAcentral is "bacterial SSU rRNA". It matches the Rfam family "Bacterial small subunit ribosomal RNA", at positions 1060 to 1382 of the family's 1533-position model. The record is from RNAcentral.